Rhinopithecus roxellana (golden snub-nosed monkey) is the source of this 320-nucleotide RNA transcript. It is a transcript of the gene named 60S ribosomal protein L39 pseudogene, with no coding region annotated. The record is from RefSeq and is a predicted model, not a curated record. NCBI's taxonomy places the organism in Eukaryota, Metazoa, Chordata, Mammalia, Primates, Cercopithecidae. The transcript has 2 exons.
AUGGAGCAAAGAUUAGCAGAGAGGGGAGUAAAGUGGGAACAGGAAGAUAAAGCAGAAGAAAAGAGAGAAAAAAAAACCCCCCUCUUUUCCUUUCUCCGCCAUCGUGGUGUGUUCUUGCCUCAACUUCUUGCCGUGUCUUCUCACAAGACUUUCAGGAUUAAGCGAUUCCUGGCCAAGAAACAAAAGCAAAAUCGUCCCAUUCCCCAGUGGAUUCGGAUGAAAACUGGAAAUAAAAUAAGGUACAACUCCAAAAGGAGAUAUUGGAGAAGAACCAAGCUGGGUCUAUAAGGAAUUGCACAUGAGAUGGCACAUAUAUUUGU